CUGUUUCAGGGCUUCUCUGGCAGACAUGAGCGUGAGCCUUCGACACCCUGUUCGACCACGCUCCAGAUAAACUCAACGUCGUCAAGAAGACGUUGAUCACCUUGUGAACAACACCUGAACAAG
This is a long non-coding RNA of Larimichthys crocea (large yellow croaker), 123 nucleotides long. RefSeq lists it as uncharacterized. The record is from RefSeq and is a predicted model, not a curated record. The transcript is spliced from 3 exons. Lineage: Eukaryota; Metazoa; Chordata; Actinopteri; Sciaenidae.